RNAcentral lists this ribosomal RNA (497 nucleotides) under uncultured bacterium. RNAcentral's name for it is "partial 16S ribosomal RNA". It matches the Rfam family "Bacterial small subunit ribosomal RNA", at positions 28 to 507 of the family's 1533-position model. The record is from RNAcentral.
GACGAACGCUGGCGGCGUGCCUAAUACAUGCAAGUUGAGCGCUGAAGGUUGGUACUUGUACCAACUGGAUGAGCAGCGAACGGGUGAGUAACGCGUGGGGAAUCUGCCUUUGAGCGGGGGACAACAUUUGGAAACGAAUGCUAAUACCGCAUAAAAACUUUAAACACAAGUUUUAAGUUUGAAAGAUGCAAUUGCAUCACUCAAAGAUGAUCCCGCGUUGUAUUAGCUAGUUGGUGAGGUAAAGGCUCACCAAGGCGAUGAUACAUAGCCGACCUGAGAGGGUGAUCGGCCACAUUGGGACUGAGACACGGCCCAAACUCCUACGGGAGGCAGCAGUAGGGAAUCUUCGGCAAUGGACGAAAGUCUGACCGAGCAACGCCGCGUGAGUGAAGAAGGGUUUCGGAUCGUAAAACUCUGUUGGUAGAGAAGAACGUUGGUGAGAGUGGAAAGCUCAUCAAGUGACGGUAACUACCCCGAAAGGGACGGCUAACUACGUG